RNAcentral lists this ribosomal RNA (878 nucleotides) under uncultured archaeon. Its description in RNAcentral is "bacterial SSU rRNA". It matches the Rfam family "Archaeal small subunit ribosomal RNA", at positions 1 to 886 of the family's 1478-position model. The record is from RNAcentral.
UUCCGGUUGAUCCUGCCGGACCUGACUGCUAUCGGAUUGAUACUAAGCCAUGUGAGUCGUUGUAGCAAUACAAGGCGUACGGCUCAGUAACACGUAGUCAAUCUAACCUAUGGACGGGGAUAACCUCGGGAAACUGAGGAUAAAACCCGAUAGAUCAUAAUUUCUGGAACGGCUUAUGGUCCAAACGAUUCGUCGCCGUAGGAUGGGACUGCGGCCUAUCAGCUUGUUGGUGAGGUAAUGGCCCACCAAGGCUAUUACAGGUACGGGCUCUGAGAGGAGAAGCCCGGAGAUGGGUACUGAGACACGGACCCAGGCCCUAUGGGGCGCAGCAGGCGAGAAAACUUUGCAAUGUGCGCAAGCACGACAAGGUUAAUCCGAGUGUUUCCUGCUUAAGGAAUCUUUUGUUAGUUGUAAAACCACUAUCGAAUAAGGGGUGGGCAAGUUCUGGUGUCAGCCGCCGCGGUAAAACCAGCACCUCAAGUGGUCAGGAGGAUUAUUGGGCCUAAAGCAUCCGUAGCCUGUUCUAUAAGUUUCCGGUUAAAUCCAUUAGCUCAACUAAUGGGCUGCCGAAAAUACUGUAGAACUAGGGAGUGGGAGAGGUAGACGGUAUUCGGUAGGAAGGGGUAAAAUCCUUUGAUCUAUUGAGGACCACCUGUGGCGAAGGCGGUCUACCAGAACACGUUCGACGGUGAGGGAUGAAAGCUGGGGGGAGCAAACCGGAUUAGAUACCCGGGUAGUCCCAGCUGUAAACGAUGCAGACUCGGUGAUGCGCUGGCUUGUGGCCAGUGCAGUGCCGCAGGGAAGCCGUUAAGUUUGCCGCCUGGGAAGUACGUACGCAAGUAUGAACUUAAAGGAAUUGGCGGGGGAGCACCACAAAG